UACGAAGGGGGCUAGCGUUGCUCGGAAUGACUGGGCGUAAAGGGCGCGCAGGCGGCCGUGUAAGUCCGCUGUGAAAGACCGGGGCUCAACCCCGGGGUGUCAGCGGGGACUGCACGGCUGGAGUCCCGGAGGGGGAGGCGGAAUACCUGGUGUAGCGGUGGAAUGCGUAGAGAUCAGGUGGAACACCGAUGGCGAAGGCAGCCUCCUGGACGGGUACUGACGCUGAGGCGCGAAAGCGUGGGGAGCGAACGGG
Molecule: ribosomal RNA, 253 nt
Filed under: uncultured bacterium
Lineage: Bacteria
Description: partial 16S ribosomal RNA
Rfam family: Bacterial small subunit ribosomal RNA
Source: RNAcentral